RNAcentral lists this ribosomal RNA (497 nucleotides) under uncultured bacterium. Its description in RNAcentral is "partial 16S ribosomal RNA". It matches the Rfam family "Bacterial small subunit ribosomal RNA", at positions 28 to 507 of the family's 1533-position model. The record is from RNAcentral.
GAUGAACGCUGGCGGCGUGCCUAAUACAUGCAAGUCGAGCGAACAGACGAGGAGCUUACUCCUCUGACGUUAGCGGCGGACGGGUGAGUAACACGUGGAUAACCUACCUAUAAGACUGGGAUAACUUCGGGAAACCGGAGCUAAUACCGGAUAACAUGUUUAACCGCAUGGUUCAACAGUGAAAGACGGUCUUGCUGUCACUUAUAGAUGGAUCCGCGUCGCAUUAGCUAGUUGGUAAGGUAACGGCUUACCAAGGCAACGAUGCGUAGCCGACCUGAGAGGGUGAUCGGCCACACUGGAACUGAGACGCGGUCCAGACUCAUACGGGAGGCAGCCGUAGGGAAUCUUCCGCAAAGGGCGAAAGCCUGACGGAGCAAAGCCGCGUGAGUGAAGAAGGUCCUCGGAUCGUAAACCUCUGUUAUGAGGGAAGAACAAAUGUGUAAGUAAAUAUGCACGUAUUGACGGUACCUAAUCAGAAAGCCACGGCUAAAUACGUG